This 390-nucleotide long non-coding RNA is filed under the name Phaseolus vulgaris (common bean). RNAcentral's name for it is "long non-coding RNA (PVUL_LNC002124)". The record is from RNAcentral. Lineage: Eukaryota; Viridiplantae; Streptophyta; Magnoliopsida; Fabales; Fabaceae.
AGUAUUGUUAUGUUGUCAAUUUAGUGCCAUACAUUACUCCUUGCCUAGCUUCUAGGUUUUAAUCUUCAUUUCACCACCUUCAAAGGGGUUGGCCGAACCUUCCCAUUUCCACACUCUUCAUGCACCUUCAAGGUCACCACACCUCUUAGGAGGACCUUGUUCAUCUCUUCCAUUAAGCUUCCGCACCAUCUUCAACAAACAUCCAAGAAGAGCUCAUAGGAAAUCCAUCAAGAUAGAAAACCCUAGAGGAGACAACCGUCAAGGAGAAACAUACUAGAUAUUCUUUUCUUGCUUUCCAUGCUUGUAAUGGCCAACAUGAAUGACUAAUUCUACCCUUUGAGAUUGGAGGUAAUCUGUUCAAACUCUUAUGUAUUGAGGUGAUAUUUAAAC